GGAGAUAUGGCUCAGUGGUUAAGAGCACUGGCUGCUCUUCCAAAGGACCCGAGUUCAAUUCCCAGCACCUUCA
Non-coding RNA from Mesocricetus auratus (golden hamster), 73 nucleotides. The record is from Rfam. Lineage: Eukaryota; Metazoa; Chordata; Mammalia; Rodentia; Cricetidae.